AACAGGAUUAGAUACCCUGGUAGUCCACGCCGUAAACUAUGGAUGCUAGCUGUAAGAAGUAUCGACCCUUCUUGUAGCGAAGCUAACGCGUUAAGCAUCCCGCCUGUGGAGUACGGUCGCAAGACUAAAACAUAAAGGAAUUGACGGGGACCCGCACAAGCGGUGGAGCGUGUUGUUUAAUUCGAUGGUAAGCGAAGAACCUUACCCAGGCUUGACAUCCUGUGAAGGUCUCCGAAAGGAGACUGUGCCUUCGGGAAUACAGUGACAGGUGAUGCAUGGCCGUCGUCAGCUCGUGUCGUGAGAUGUUUGGUUAAGUCCAUCAACGAGCGCAACCCUUGUAGUUAGUUGUAUUUUUCUAGCUAGACUGCCCUGGUAACAGGGAGGAAGGGGGGGAUGAUGUCAGGUCAGUAUUUCCCUUACGUCUGGGGCUACAAACACGCUACAAUGGCCGGUACAAAGGGCAGCCAAAGCGCAAGCUGGAGCAAAUCCCAUCGAAGCCGGUCCCAGUUCGGAUAGCAGGCUGAAACUCGCCUGCUUGAAGAUGGAAUCGCUAGUAACGGUAGGUCAGCACACUACCGUGAAUACGUUCCCGGGUCUUGUACACACCGCCCGUCAAACCAUGAAAGUCGCCAAUACCUGACGUGUUAGCUUUGCCUAGCCCUAAGGUAGGGGAGAUGAUUGGGGUUAAGUCGUAACAAGGUAACC
Molecule: ribosomal RNA, 705 nt
Filed under: uncultured bacterium
Lineage: Bacteria
Description: bacterial SSU rRNA
Rfam family: Bacterial small subunit ribosomal RNA
Source: RNAcentral